GUCCAGACUCCUACGGGAGGCAGCAGUGGGGAAUAUUGCGCAAUGGGCGAAAGCCUGACGCAGCGACGCCGCGUGAGGGAUGAAGGUCUUCGGAUCGUAAACCUCUGUCAGCAGGGAAGAACGGUCACUGUGCUAAUCAGCAGUGAAUUGACGGUACCUGCAAAGGAAGCACCGGCUAACUCCGUGCCAGCAGCCGCGGUAAUACGUAGGUGGCAAGCGUUGUCCGGAUUUACUGGGUGUAAAGGGCGUGCAGCCGGGAAGACAAGUCAGAUGUGAAAUCCCGCGGCUCAACCGCGGAACUGCAUUUGAAACUGUUUUUCUUGAGUAUCGGAGAGGUAAUCGGAAUUCCUAGUGUAGCGGUGAAAUGCGUAGAUAUUAGGAAGAACACCAGUGGCGAAGGCGGAUUACUGGACGACAACUGACGGUGAGGCGCGAAAGCGUGGGGAGCAAACAGGAUUAGAUACCCCAGUAGCC
This 474-nucleotide ribosomal RNA is filed under the name uncultured bacterium. RNAcentral's name for it is "bacterial SSU rRNA". It matches the Rfam family "Bacterial small subunit ribosomal RNA", at positions 329 to 795 of the family's 1533-position model. The record is from RNAcentral.